This 95-nucleotide small RNA is filed under the name Arabidopsis thaliana (thale cress). RNAcentral describes it as "ATSL025800". The record is from RNAcentral. Lineage: Eukaryota; Viridiplantae; Streptophyta; Magnoliopsida; Brassicales; Brassicaceae.
AUGUAGGUGAAUUUAUGCUAUAACUAAGUUGCAUGGAAACGGAAACAGAAACGCGGAUGCGAAACGUUUCAGAAACGGGAAUCAAUUUUUUAUUA